Neodiprion fabricii is the source of this 1177-nucleotide long non-coding RNA. RefSeq lists it as uncharacterized. Lineage: Eukaryota; Metazoa; Arthropoda; Insecta; Hymenoptera; Diprionidae. The transcript has 2 exons. The record is from RefSeq and is a predicted model, not a curated record.
UAACGAGCGAGCUCGUCCACCGUCAGACUCUGUGGGAAUGGCCAUCGCUCUUUGCCCUUGCCUCGCGCUAUCUCAGAGUCGGAGGAAGACUUGCCCAACCCGCAGAGCUGCCGUCGUCUAGAAUUAUUGCACAAGAAGAGUUUCGUUCGGGAAGAUUGAAGAUAAUUGAGUUGGACGAAGGAGUUGCUUAGAGAAGCUGUUUUUUCAAUUGUUUUUCGCAAAAUCCAAUGUAAUCUGUAUACCUUGACGCACUCUUAGGCUUUAUCUUUAAUUUCCUCUAAAUAUACUCAUAUAUACUCACAUUCAAAGACAAUAUUGAAUCGUUUUCACCAUUCAUCGCUAGCUUGCAGUGAGUCUAAAUUUAAUUUUGCGAAUAAAAAUGACAAAAAUAACUUACGAAAAGGGAGAGAAAUAUAUAGAAAUAGAUUCCAAAGAAGCGAAGUCUCGCGACCGCGUUACCAAAGCUGCAGGAUGCCGACGGCAGAAAUCGCGUGUUAAAAACUCGCAAAAGGCAUGCUGCGGGCCGGGCCGAGAGUUCGAAACAAACUGAGCACGACUGCAGGGAGGAUAAUGGGCGUCGGGAGGAAGGUACAUGCCGUCACAGGCAUCUCCGCAUACGGGGAACAUCGAUUUAGAACACGAGGAGAAAUAAAAUCCGGUUUAUGCGGUAUAAUGGAUUCCCGACACGGAAGCAAUCGAAUUAAGAGGCAAUCCAGAAAGUGGACCAAAAAUACACCGGUGCCAAUCACGUUUCGGGCAAUUAAUUAUUCGACGAGCCGCCAUCCUGCCUUUUAUCUUCGUCCGUAUGUAAAGCGCUUUUCGCUUUACUCCUAAUCCGUGGAUGAUCGCUCAUCUUUACCGGAUCACGCGAUGAUCGGCUCAGCUCUAAUAUACCCACUUAGCGGUAUUAACUGCAUAAUUUAACUGCCUCGUUGAUGUAAUCUGCCAAGUUUUAUCAUCAAUAUAGAUAGAAUGAUACAAACCUCAGAGAUUUUUUCUUCUCGAUACCCGAAACAUCGCAGAAGGUUUACGUUUUCCUUUUAAUCUUCAUUUCUGAUGGACAGCUUGUAGGUAUAAAUUGAGUAUUCCAGAUAAUACAGUGAUUUUGUAUCGUAGAUAUUUUUGAGCAGUUCUAUACUAAUAAUGAAUUUGAUCGACGUAAGACCGGCAGUUAAUG